Procambarus clarkii (red swamp crayfish) is the source of this 863-nucleotide non-coding RNA. NCBI's taxonomy places the organism in Eukaryota, Metazoa, Arthropoda, Malacostraca, Decapoda, Cambaridae. The record is from RefSeq and is a predicted model, not a curated record.
UGUACAAAAUACCAGAAUUAAAAACAAAAGCUAAAACUAAUAUUUUAUAUUAAUUAUCAGUGCAUGUUGUGUUAUACAUAUAUUUUAUUUUACCAUAAAGUACUGAAAUUUAUUUCAUCCGGCAGGUAAAAUGAAGGCAGCAAUAUUCCUGCUGCGUCUCCCUAAAUGUGAGCCACCUAGAGAACACUGAGACAAACAAUACAGUCCACUAUAGCACGAAGACGACUACAGUUUACUUAGUGGCAACUGGAUAUGAUUACUAUCACUCUAAACAGCUAAAAUGUUGCUAUCGUUCUUUUUAUUUAGUAAUACAUCAUUUAAUUUUAAUCAUUCUUAGGAAAUCAAAUAAAAUCUAUAAACCUAACAUUCAGUGAAAUUCAAGAAAUCACCAACAUUAUAGAAUUUUCAGUUAUAUUUCUUGCAUAAAAUUACAUACAAGAGUACAGAGCAAGGCAGAGCAUGGCAGACCUUUUGCAGGAAGACUACUUUGUCCUCCUUAUACAUUUCAGAGAAUGACGGGGUGUGUAGAACCAGUCAUAUUUUAGCAGAUAACACUGUCAUGUCGGAUCCAGACCAGAGAAUCGCAGCGCAGCUAAAGACUCACCCACCUCACAGUCACUCACCCUGUCCUCGCCACUACACUCGAAGUUGACGUCUAUGCCACUCCACCAUCUCUUUUGCUAUACGUUGACAUCUGCUCCAGCGUCGAGGAGGACCUUCACAGUGUUGUCGUGGCCACCUUCGGCUGCCCUGAGAAGGGCUGUCCUGCCUGUCAACAGACACCACAAUUGUUAUUAUGCAUAAACCAUCACGAUUCCAGAGGUUUCUGUAAAUUGUUGAAAUAAACCAUCCUUGAUUAACAA